CGGCGGACGGGUGAGUAAUGCCUAGGAAUCUGCCUGGUAGUGGGGGACAACGUUUCGAAAGGAACGCUAAUACCGCAUACGUCCUACGGGAGAAAGCAGGGGACCUUCGGGCUUUGCGCUAUCAGAUGAGCCUAGGUCGGAUUAGCUAGUUGGUGAGGUAAUGGCUCACCAAGGCGACGAUCCGUAACUGGUCUGAGAGGAUGAUCAGUCACACUGGAACUGAGACACGGUCCAGACUCCUACGGGAGGCAGCAGAC
This 257-nucleotide ribosomal RNA is filed under the name uncultured Pseudomonas sp. Its description in RNAcentral is "partial 16S ribosomal RNA". It matches the Rfam family "Bacterial small subunit ribosomal RNA", at positions 96 to 354 of the family's 1533-position model. Lineage: Bacteria; Pseudomonadati; Pseudomonadota; Gammaproteobacteria; Pseudomonadales; Pseudomonadaceae. The record is from RNAcentral.